AACGCACAUGGCGCCCCCCGGCAUCCCGGGGGGCAUGCCUGUCCGAGCGUCGUUUCAACCCUCGAGCCCCUACGUGGCCCGGCGUUGGGGAUCUACGGCUCUGCCGUAGGCCCUGAAAUACAGUGGCGGACCCGUGACGGCCCACCCUUGCGUAGUAGCAUCAGCCUCGCAUCGGUAGCCCGCGGGCGCUCCCGCCUCUAAACCCCAUAAAAGUCCGCCCCCGGCGGCACCAAGGUUGACCUCGGAUCAGGUAGGAAUACCCGCUGAACUUAA
Molecule: unclassified non-coding RNA, 273 nt
Filed under: uncultured fungus
Lineage: Eukaryota; Fungi
Description: partial contains 5.8S ribosomal RNA, internal transcribed spacer 2, and large subunit ribosomal RNA
Source: RNAcentral